This 433-nucleotide ribosomal RNA is filed under the name uncultured bacterium. Its description in RNAcentral is "partial 16S ribosomal RNA". It matches the Rfam family "Bacterial small subunit ribosomal RNA", at positions 29 to 507 of the family's 1533-position model. The record is from RNAcentral.
AACGAACGCUGGCGGCAUGCCUAACACAUGCAAGUCGAACGAGACCUUCGGGUCUAGUGGCGCACGGGUGCGUAACGCGUGGGAACCUGCCCUUAGGUUCGGAAUAACUCCCCGAAAGGGGUGCUAAUACCGGAUGAUGUAUUAGGACCAACGAUUUAUGGCCUUUGGAUGGGCCCGCGUUGGAUUAGCUAGUUGGUAGGGUAAAAGCCUACCAAGGCGACGAUCCAUAGCUGGUCUGAGAGGAUGAUCAGCCACACUGGGACUGAGACACGGCCCAGACUCCUACGGGAGGCAGCAGUGUGUAAUAUUGGACACUGGGCGAUAGCGUGGUCCAGCAAUGCCGCGUGUGUGAUGAAUGCCUUAGUGUUGUAAAGCUCUUUGACCCGGGAUGAUAAUGACAGUACCGGGAGAAGAAGCUCCGGCUAACUCCGUG